This 198-nucleotide ribosomal RNA is filed under the name uncultured bacterium. RNAcentral describes it as "partial 16S ribosomal RNA". It matches the Rfam family "Bacterial small subunit ribosomal RNA", at positions 328 to 539 of the family's 1533-position model. The record is from RNAcentral.
ACGCUCGACACCUACGGGAGGCAGCAGUGGGGAAUAUUGCACAAUGGGGGAAACCCUGAUGCAGCGACGCCGCGUGAGCGAAGAAGUAUCUCGGUAUGUAAAGCUCUAUCAGCAGGGAAGAAGAUGACGGUACCUGACUAAGAAGCACCGGCUAAAUACGUGCCAACAGCCGCGGUAAUCUGAGCGGGCUGGCAAGGC